GACGAACGCUGGCGGCGUGCUUAACACAUGCAAGUCGAACGGAGCGAAUGAAAGCUUGCUUUUAUAAGCUUAGUGGCAAACGGGUGAGUAACACGUAGACAACCUGCCGACAGGAUGGGGACAACAUUCCGAAAGGAAUGCUAAUACCGAAUGAAGUGCAGGGGAGGCAUCUCCCCUGCAUGAAAGAUGGCCUCUUUUUAUGCUAUCACCUGUUGAUGGGUCUGCGUCUGAUUAGCUGGUAGGUGAGGUAACGGCUCACCUAGGCGACGAUCAGUAGCCGGUCUGAGAGGAUGAACGGCCACAUUGGGACUGAGACACGGCCCAGACUCCUACGGGAGGCAGCAGUGGGGAAUCUUCCGCAAUGGGCGCAAGCCUGACGGAGCAACGCCGCGUGAGUGAAGAGGGUCUUCGGAUCGUAAAGCUCUGUUGAUGGGGACGAACGUGCCUAAUGCGAAUAGUUUUAGG
Molecule: ribosomal RNA, 465 nt
Filed under: Centipeda noxia
Lineage: Bacteria; Bacillati; Bacillota; Negativicutes; Selenomonadales; Selenomonadaceae
Description: bacterial SSU rRNA
Rfam family: Bacterial small subunit ribosomal RNA
Source: RNAcentral